GACGUAGGGAGCGAGCGUUGUCCGGAUUCAUUGGGCGUAAAGAGCGCGUAGGCGGCCGUGCAAGUCGGUUGUGAAAUCCCGGGGCUCAACCCCGGGACUGCGUCCGAUACUGCACGGCUCGAGGCAGGUAGGGGAGAGUGGAAUUCCCGGUGUAGCGGUGAAAUGCGCAGAUAUCGGGAGGAACACCGGUGGCGAAGGCGGCUCUCUGGGCCUGUCCUGACGCUGAGGCGCGAAAGCUAGGGGAGCGAACAGG
This 253-nucleotide ribosomal RNA is filed under the name uncultured bacterium. Its description in RNAcentral is "partial 16S ribosomal RNA". It matches the Rfam family "Bacterial small subunit ribosomal RNA", at positions 524 to 776 of the family's 1533-position model. The record is from RNAcentral.